This 497-nucleotide ribosomal RNA is filed under the name uncultured bacterium. Its description in RNAcentral is "partial 16S ribosomal RNA". It matches the Rfam family "Bacterial small subunit ribosomal RNA", at positions 28 to 507 of the family's 1533-position model. The record is from RNAcentral.
GAUGAACGCUGGCGGCGUGCCUAAUACACGCAAGUCGAGCGAACAGACGAGGCGCUUGCUCCUCUGACGUUAGCGGCGGACGGGUGAGUAACACGUGGAUAACCUACCUAUAAGACUGGGAUAACUUCGGGAAACCGGAGCUAAUACCGGAUAAUAUAUUGAACCGCAUGGUUCAAUAGUGAAAGACGGUUUUGCUGUCACUUAUAGAUGGAUCCGCGCGGCAUUAGCUGGUUGGUAAGGUAACGGCUUAUCAAGGCGACGAUGCGUAGCCGACCUGAGAGGGGGGUAGGCGACAUUGGAGCGGAGACACGGUCCAGACUCCUGCGGGAGGCAGCAGUAGGGAAUCUUCCGCAGUGGGCGAAAGCCUGACGGAGCAACGCCGCGUGAGUGAUAGAGGUCUUCGGAUCGUAAAACUCUGUUAUUAGGGAAGAACAAAUGUGUAAGUAACUAUGCACGGCUUGACGGUACCUGAUCAGAAAGCCACGGCUAACUACGUG